GCUACGGGGAGCUGCAGUGGGGAAUAUUGCACAAUGGGGGAAACCCUGAUGCAGCGACGCCGCGUGAGUGAAGAAGUAAUUCGUUACGUAAAGCUCUAUCAGCAGGGAAGAAAAUGACGGUACCUGAGUAAGAAGCCCAGGCUAACUACGUGCCAGAAGACGCGGUAAUACGUAGGGGGCAAGCGUGAUCCGGAUGUACGGGGUGUAAAGGGAGCGUAGACGGUGCGCGAAGUCUGGCGUGAAAUGCCGCAGCUUAACUGCGGCACUGCUUUGGAAACUGGCGAACUAGAGUGCGGGCGGGGUAAGCGGAAUUCCUAGUGUAGCGGUGACAUGCGUAGAUAUUAGGCGGAACACCGGUGGCGAAGGCGGCUUACUGGACCGUAACUGACGUUGAGGCUCGAAAGCGUGGGGAGCAAACAGGAUUAGAUACCCUAGUAGUC
Molecule: ribosomal RNA, 440 nt
Filed under: uncultured bacterium
Lineage: Bacteria
Description: partial 16S ribosomal RNA
Rfam family: Bacterial small subunit ribosomal RNA
Source: RNAcentral